ACCUACGGGGGGCAGCAGUAGGGAAUCUUCCACAAUGGGCGAAAGCCUGAUGGAGCAACGCCGCGUGGGUGAAGAAGGUCUUCGGAUCGUAAAACCCUGUUGUUAGAGAAGAAAGUGCGUGAGAGUAACUGUUCACGUUUCGACGGUAUCUAACCAGAAAGCCACGGCUAACUACGUGCCAGCAGCCGCGGUAACACGUAGGUGGCAAGCGUUAUCCGGAUUUAUUGGGCGUAAAGGGAACGCAGGCGGUCUUUUAAGUCUGAUGUGAAAGCCUUCGGCUUAACCGGAGUCGUGCCUUGGAAACU
RNAcentral lists this ribosomal RNA (305 nucleotides) under uncultured bacterium. Its description in RNAcentral is "bacterial SSU rRNA". It matches the Rfam family "Bacterial small subunit ribosomal RNA", at positions 337 to 634 of the family's 1533-position model. The record is from RNAcentral.